RNAcentral lists this unclassified non-coding RNA (315 nucleotides) under Hevea brasiliensis (rubber tree). Lineage: Eukaryota; Viridiplantae; Streptophyta; Magnoliopsida; Malpighiales; Euphorbiaceae. The record is from RNAcentral.
AAAAAAAUCUUAAAGGUCAGUCAAGCUUCAAACUCUUAGUACAGAAUAUUAACUGAGCUUCCAUUCUAUACAAUGGAUCUCCAUCUGCAUCGCCAAAGGACACAUCAAAAGUAAAUUAAAUUGCAGCUGAAAAGAGCAUCACAUAGACAAUAUGUAUUUGAUUAAUGGUUUAUAACCAAAUCCCAAGAAUAUUCAUGGGUACCUAGCAAGUUCACCUGGCUUAUAUCAUAAAGAAUGAUCAAGUUACUAUUCUGAAGUUCAGCUAAGCAUAAUCACAAACACGCAGGGUGAGAAGCUCAACCUAGCAACAUAUUU